GCCCCAGCAUGGUAGCUUGUGCCUGUGUUCCAAACUACCCCAGAGACUGAGGCAGUAGGGUCACUUGAGCCCAAGAUCUCUAGGCUGUAGUGCACUAUGCCAAUUGGUGUCUAUGCUGAAUCCAGCGUCAAUGUGGUUAUUUCCUGGUAGCAGGGACCACCAGGUUGCCUAAGGGAGGAUGAAUUGGCUCAGAUCAGAAACAGAGCAGGUCAAACUCUUGUGCUGUUCAGUAGUGGAAUUGUACCUGUGAAUAGCCACUGCACUCCAGCCUGGGCAAUGUAGUGAGACCCUGUCUCU
Molecule: unclassified non-coding RNA, 297 nt
Organism: Colobus angolensis palliatus
Lineage: Eukaryota; Metazoa; Chordata; Mammalia; Primates; Cercopithecidae
Rfam family: Metazoan signal recognition particle RNA
About the family: The signal recognition particle (SRP) is a universally conserved ribonucleoprotein.
Source: Ensembl